CCUUCGGGGUAAAAACCUUUUUUAGUAGGGAAGAAGCGAAAGUGACGGUACCUGCAGAAAAAGCCCCGGCUAAUUACGUGCCAGCAGCCGCGGUAAUACGUAGGGUGCAAGCGUUGUCCGGAAUUAUUGGGCGUAAAGAGCUCGUAGGCGGUUUGUCGCGUCUGCUGUGAAAUCCCGAGGCUCAACCUCGGGCUUGCAGUGGGUACGGGCAGACUAGAGUGCGGUAGGGGAGAUUGGAAUUCCUGGUGUAGCGGUGGAAUGCGCAGAUAUCAGGAGGAACACCGAUGGCGAAGGCAGAUCUUUGGGCCGUAACUGACGCUGAGGAGCGAAAGCAUGGGGAGCGAACAGGAUUAGAUACCCUGGUAGUCCAUGCCGUAAACGUUGGGCGCUAGAUGUAGGGACCUUUCCACGGUUUCUGUGUCGUAGCUAACGCAUUAAGCGCCCCGCCUGGGGAGUACGGCCGCAAGGCUAAAACUCAAAGGAAUUGACGGGGGCCCGCACAAGCGGCGGAGCAUGCGGAUUAAUUCGAUGCAACGCGAAGAACCUUACCAAGGCUUGACAUACACCGGAAACGGCCAGAGAUGGUCGCCCCCUUGUGGUCGGUGUACAGGUGGUGCAUGGUUGUCGUCAGCUCGUGUCGUGAGAUGUUGGGUUAAGUCCCGCAACGAGCGCAACCCUCGUUCUAUGUUGCCAGCGGGUUAUGCCGGGGACUCAUAGGAGACUGCCGGGGUCAACUCGGAGGAAGGUGGGGAUGACGUCAAAUCAUCAUGCCCCUUAUGUCUUGGGCUUCACGCAUGCUACAAUGGCCGGUACAAAGGGCUGCGAUACCGUAAGGUGGAGCGAAUCCCAAAAAGCCGGUCUCAGUUCGGAUUGAGGUCUGCAACUCGACCUCAUGAAGUCGGAGUCGCUAGUAAUCGCAGAUCAGCAACGCUGCGGUGAAUACGUUCCCGGGCCUUGUACACACCGCCCGUCAAGUCAUGAAAGUCGGUAACACCCGAAG
RNAcentral lists this ribosomal RNA (1000 nucleotides) under Curtobacterium flaccumfaciens. RNAcentral describes it as "bacterial SSU rRNA". It matches the Rfam family "Bacterial small subunit ribosomal RNA", at positions 415 to 1426 of the family's 1533-position model. Lineage: Bacteria; Bacillati; Actinomycetota; Actinomycetes; Micrococcales; Microbacteriaceae. The record is from RNAcentral.